GCUUGCAUUAAUGCCGUCUUCAAAGAGAAAUUGAAUAGUUAGUUCAAGAGAGAGAAAUAAUAUCUCUUACUUAUGUGUUUGGUUUCUAUUUCUGAUAAUUGACAAUUAGGAAAAUCCAAAUUCAGUCAUCAGAUUCUUUGCGUGAUUUGGAGACCACUAAAUUUUAAUUCGCAUUCCCAAUCAGUCCCUGGCUUCCAUUUCCAAUUCCGAAUUCCCGAAUCGAUGCUAUUCUCAAAUAGAACCACAAUUUGACAAAAUCACAUUUCAAUUCUAUCGAAUGAUACAUAUCUGGCAAAAAAACCGAAAAUCCACUGAAAAAAGAAAAUUCAUAGAAAAAGGUACCUGGC
RNAcentral lists this unclassified non-coding RNA (347 nucleotides) under Hevea brasiliensis (rubber tree). The record is from RNAcentral. Lineage: Eukaryota; Viridiplantae; Streptophyta; Magnoliopsida; Malpighiales; Euphorbiaceae.